UACGAAGGGGGCGAGCGUUGUUCGGAUUUACUGGGCGUAAAGGGCGCGCAGGCGGCUCAUUUUGUCAGGCGUGAAAGCCCCGGGCUUAACCUGGGAGGUGCGUUUGAUACGGAUGGGCUAGAGUUCGGGAGAGGAGAGUGGAAUUCCCAGUGUAGAGGUGAAAUUCGUAGAUAUUGGGAAGAACACCGGUGGCGAAGGCGGCUCUCUGGACCGAGACUGACGCUGAGGCGCGAAAGCGUGGGGGAGCAAACAGG
RNAcentral lists this ribosomal RNA (254 nucleotides) under uncultured bacterium. RNAcentral's name for it is "partial 16S ribosomal RNA". It matches the Rfam family "Bacterial small subunit ribosomal RNA", at positions 524 to 776 of the family's 1533-position model. The record is from RNAcentral.